Molecule: non-coding RNA, 21 nt
Filed under: Caenorhabditis elegans
Lineage: Eukaryota; Metazoa; Nematoda; Chromadorea; Rhabditida; Rhabditidae
Source: RNAcentral
UUUUGCAAGCUUUAUGAUAGC